CAUUGCAGGUAUGUGCUAACAGCGUAGAUAUAUGCUCACAGUGCAUGUAUGUGCUCUCAGUGCAGGUAUGUGCUCACUGCAGGUAUGUGCUCACAGUGCAGGUAUGUGCUCACUGCAGGUAUGUGCUCACAGUGCAGGUAUGUGCUCACAGCGUAGAUAUAUGCUCACAGUGCAUGUAUGUGCUCUCAGUGCAGGUAUGUGCUCACUGCAGGUAUGUGCUCUCAGUGCAGGUAUGUGCUCACUGCGUAGAUAUGUGCUCACAGUGCAGGUAUGCGCUCUCAGUGCAGGUAUGUGCUCACAGUGCAGGUAUGUGCUCACAGUGCAGGUAUGUGCUUACUGCAGAUAUGUGCUCACAGUGCAGGUAUGUGCUCACAGUGUAGAUAUGUGCUCACAGUGCAUGUAUGUGCUCUCAGUGCAGGUAUGUGCUCACAGCAUAGAUAUGUGCUCACAGUGCAGGUAUGUGCUUUCAGUGCAGGUAUGUGCUCAC
Long non-coding RNA from Anguilla rostrata (American eel), 487 nucleotides. RefSeq lists it as uncharacterized. NCBI's taxonomy places the organism in Eukaryota, Metazoa, Chordata, Actinopteri, Anguilliformes, Anguillidae. The transcript is spliced from 5 exons. The record is from RefSeq and is a predicted model, not a curated record.